GUCCCGUUCGUCUAGAGGCCUAGGACGCUGCCCUCUCACGGCGGUAACAGGGGUUCGAAUCCCCUACGGGAUACCA
This 76-nucleotide transfer RNA is filed under the name Acetobacteraceae bacterium. RNAcentral describes it as "tRNA-Glu". It matches the Rfam family "tRNA". From Rfam's summary of the family: Transfer RNA (tRNA) molecules are approximately 80 nucleotides in length. Their secondary structure includes four short double-helical elements and three loops (D, anti-codon, and T loops). Further hydrogen bonds mediate the characteristic L-shaped molecular structure. tRNAs have two regions of fundamental functional importance: the anti-codon, which is responsible for specific mRNA codon recognition, and the 3' end, to which the tRNAs corresponding amino acid is attached (by aminoacyl-tRNA synthetases). tRNAs cope with the degeneracy of the genetic code in two manners: having more than one tRNA (with a specific anti-codon) for a particular amino acid; and 'wobble' base-pairing, i.e. permitting non-standard base-pairing at the 3rd anti-codon position. Lineage: Bacteria; Pseudomonadati; Pseudomonadota; Alphaproteobacteria; Acetobacterales; Acetobacteraceae. The record is from RNAcentral. RNAcentral also lists the same sequence under 1 other name.